Molecule: non-coding RNA, 23 nt
Filed under: Arabidopsis thaliana (thale cress)
Lineage: Eukaryota; Viridiplantae; Streptophyta; Magnoliopsida; Brassicales; Brassicaceae
Source: RNAcentral
AGGUAAGUGUAGAGACAACAUAC